This 460-nucleotide ribosomal RNA is filed under the name uncultured bacterium. RNAcentral describes it as "partial 16S ribosomal RNA". It matches the Rfam family "Bacterial small subunit ribosomal RNA", at positions 338 to 795 of the family's 1533-position model. The record is from RNAcentral.
CCUACGGGAGGCAGCAGUGAGGAAUAUUGGUCAAUGGCCGUAAGUCUGAACCAGCCAAGUAGCGUGAGGGAAGACUGCCCUAUGGGUUUUAAACCUCUUUUAUGCGGGGAUAAAAGUUUCUACUUGUCGAUGUUUGCAGCUACCGCAUGAAUAAGGACCGGCUAAUGCCGUGCCAGCAGCCGCGGUAAUACGGAGGGUCCGGGCGUUAUCCGGAAUUACUGGGUUUAAAGGGAGCGUAGGCCGGUCUUUAAGUGGGACGUGAAAUUUUGUGGCUCAACCAUGGGAGUGCAGCGAGAACUGGAGAACUUGAGUGCGGGGGAGGGAGGCGGAAUUCGUAGUGUAGCGGUGAAAUGCUUAGAUAUCACGAAGAACACCGAUUGCGAAGGCAGCCUGCCGGAGCGUUACUGACGCUGAGGCUCGAAAGCGUGGGUAUCGAACAGGAUUAGAUACCCCUGUAGUC